GUUGGGAAUUUGACUGCGUUUUCCAUUUUAGGGCUAAACUGUCAGCGAUGACAUGUCCAGGUUUAUGAAAAUAAAAACAUUCACGAUUCUCCUUUGAAACAGAUGUAUUAGCCAUGUGGAGCUGUUGCACAGAGCUAACACGUGCUUCUCAUUGACAUGGAAUGAUGACUUAUGGGUGAGCACAUACUCAUCAGCAAGAACAGCAGCAAAUGCAAGACUGGACACUUUCUGUUCAUUUAAAUACAAAACUACACGUUCAGGAAUGCACUUUCUAAAGUCUUCCAGCAACACUAACUCUCGCAGGGAGUCAUAAUUACUGGCUUUCAAUGCAAGACACCAUUUAUCAAAGAGGAUCCCCUUCUCUCUGGCAAACUCCACAUAAGUUUGGAAGUUUCCUCUGCUGUCAAAACUUCUGCCUAUUCCCAAUUUCCCAACUUGUGAAAGCAGAGUCCCGCAGUGAGGUUGUGGUGGUAAGGUGCCAGACCCUUGUUUUGAACCUUUCAGUUUUGAUGGUUUAGUAUCACUGACAGCUAACUCCUCAGAUCUAAAACCAGUACGUAUUUUGAGGGACACUGGAGGUUCCCAGACUGUCAUCCUCUCUAGGAUCCUACCUUUCUCAGCUCAAAGUACCUGUGGUUUUAACUCUGUUCUGCGUGGAAUAGAGAUGGGCUACACUCCCAGGACAGUUUACUGGGUUUUCAUAAAAUCAGAACUCGUUACGGGAUUUUCCCCUGUUGCUGUUUGCCCAGCCUUACCAAUAGAUGGUGUGGCCAUGCUAAUGGGAAUGAUAUCACUGGAGGCUUGGUGCUUCCUAGUCUGGAGGUUUUAGACAAUCCCCUGAAUCAGAGGACCCCACACUUUGCUGUGAACCCUGGGCUGUAUCCAGCCUGUGCGGUUACCCAUGCACAAGCACAUAAAGAUGCUGACAUUACACUCUCUGAUUUGGUGUUGAUGUCCUCAUUUUCUGCGGAGAGUAAUGUGCAAACUGAAGGUAAAAAAUGUUCCGUUACCCCCAGAUUCGGUGGACCCAGAGGAGUCUGAUCCAUCCUUAAAGGACGCAUCACUUCCCUUUACCAGAGAACACUUGUUGUCAGCUCAACUAGCUGAUGAAACAUUACGGAAUUGUUUCAAGCGUGUGCCUGGAAAGGACACAGAAAAGACAGGGAACCACCACAGUUCUUAAAGAGGAGCAGAUAUGCAGGGCCUGGAACAGUUAUGAAAGCUAGUUAUGAAAAUGCUCUCUCUCUCUCUCUCUCUCUCCCUCUCUCUACACACACACACACACACACA
Molecule: long non-coding RNA, 1290 nt
Organism: Oreochromis niloticus (Nile tilapia)
Lineage: Eukaryota; Metazoa; Chordata; Actinopteri; Cichliformes; Cichlidae
Exons: 3
Source: RefSeq, a predicted model, not a curated record